This is a non-coding RNA of Nothobranchius furzeri (turquoise killifish), 1284 nucleotides long. Lineage: Eukaryota; Metazoa; Chordata; Actinopteri; Cyprinodontiformes; Nothobranchiidae. The record is from RefSeq and is a predicted model, not a curated record.
CAUACAGGCACACACACACAGACACUCACACACACAGAAACACAGACACACUAACACACACCCAGACAUAAACACACACUCACAGAUAGACACACAAACAGACUCACACAGAAAGACACAUAGACACACUCACACAGACAGACACUCACACACUCAUAGACACUCGCACACACUCACACAGACACACACACUCACACACAGACAGACACAGAUACACUCACACAGACACACACACACACAAAAACACACAAAGACAGACACUCAGACACACACACUCACACAGACACACACACUCACACACAGACAGACACAGAUACACUCACACAGACACACACACACACAAAAACACACACAGACAGACACUCAGACACACACACUCACACAGACACAGACACAUGCUUUUCUAAACACAACAGACAUGUCCUGGAGACUGCGGUAAAGCCAGCCUCCACUUGCUGAUUUACGGUAAAGUGAGCCUUCAGUCGAUUUUGCUAAGUGCACGCGUUCAAAGCCUUACGGUAAAAGGUCGGGCCACUUUUACCGUAAAUAUAAUAAUAAUAAUUCAUAAGAAAUAUAUAAGUCAGUCAGCAGGCAUCAUCAUCAACGCCCCUCACCUGAAGCUCAGCUUCAGCAGCUACUUCCGCUCACCUUCGUCAGUUUUGGUGGUGUCACAUCUGUUGCCGUUUAUCAUCAUCCUCUCCUGCCCUCAGAUAAAUGACCAAAACAAACUUCAUCUGCUUGAACGGAUUUGUGGUGGUAACGGGGUGGAUGCUGAAGCUAGACGUGAACCCUAGCUCUCUGUUACAGCUGCUUCUGUUGGGAGAAGCUUCUCAAACUGAGGCUCAUCAUGGCACAAGAACAUCUAAGAUGACCCCAUUGAUGACUUUGCAUCGAGAAAAUAUUUGUGCAUCUGUAAGACUCCUGCUAUUGCUGACAGAGGCUGGUCACAUGACCUACCAAGGUGGAAGCCUAAGGCCCUUCCUGAUAGUCACUUUUUUUUGCUGAGGGAACCGAUACCAUUGCAGUUGCCUAAAAGUGGCUUCACUGUAACUUGUCAUUUCUGUUCAGCUAAUAUUUUAGUUUUGUGAUCAUUUCUAUGAAUAUUUUUUUUAUCUACAUCAAAAAAUAAAUAAAACCUGUAUUUUUGUGUGGUAGAAGUAUUGGUAUCGGCGAGUACUCUGAUCCAAGUAUCGGUUUGGAAAGAAGAGGUAUCGAUGCAUGCCUAAUAUUAAGUCUUUUAUCCAGAACCAUCUCAGAGCUCAGGUCAGGUUAUGAUUCCAGUCC